GAUGAACGCUGGCGGCGUGCCUAAUACAUGCAAGUCGAGCGAACGGACGAGAAGCUUGCUUCUCUGAUGUUAGCGGCGGACGGGUGAGUAACACGUGGAUAACCUACCUAUAAGACUGGGAUAACUUCGGGAAACCGUAGCUAAUACCGGAUAAUAUUUUGAACCGCAUGGUUCAAAAGUGAAAGACGGUCUUGCUGUCACUUAUAGAUGGAUCCGCGCUGCAUUAGCUAGUUGGUAAGGUAACGGCUUACCAAGGCAACGAUGCAUAGCCGACCUGAGAGGAUGAUCGGCCACACUGGAACUGAGACACGGUCCAGACUCCUACGGGAGGCAGCAGUAGGGAAUCUUCCGCAAUGGGCGAAAGCCUGACGGAGCAACGCCGCGUGAGUGAUGAAGGUCUUCGGAUCGUAAAACUCUGUUAUUAGGGAAGAACAUAUGUGUAAGUAACUGUGCACAUCUUGACGGUACCUAAUCAGAAAGCCACGGCUAACUACGUG
This 497-nucleotide ribosomal RNA is filed under the name uncultured bacterium. Its description in RNAcentral is "partial 16S ribosomal RNA". It matches the Rfam family "Bacterial small subunit ribosomal RNA", at positions 28 to 507 of the family's 1533-position model. The record is from RNAcentral.